This 26-nucleotide non-coding RNA is filed under the name Rattus norvegicus (Norway rat). Lineage: Eukaryota; Metazoa; Chordata; Mammalia; Rodentia; Muridae. The record is from RNAcentral.
GACUUUCUCCUCUAGCAGAUGCCUGA